GGGUCAGUAGGUUGGUCGUGCCACCGGUACGUACUGGUCUCACUGAUUCCUCCUUCCUGAAGAACCGUAAUGCCAUUAAUUUGGUGUUGCGGGGAAACAGGACUGUUACUUUGAAAAAAUUAGAGUGUUUAAAGCAGGCUAACGCUUGAAUACAUUAGCAUGGAAUAAUGGAAUAGGACGAUCGAUCCUAUUUUGUUGGUUUCUAGGAUUGACGUA
This 216-nucleotide ribosomal RNA is filed under the name Glomeromycotina sp. Its description in RNAcentral is "partial small subunit ribosomal RNA". The stretch from base 40 to 216 matches the Rfam family "Eukaryotic small subunit ribosomal RNA", at positions 686 to 864 of the family's 1831-position model. Lineage: Eukaryota; Fungi; Glomeromycota. The record is from RNAcentral.